AGGGCACUACCAGGAGUGGAUCCUGCGGCUCAAUUUGACUCAACACGGGAAAGCUCACCUGGUCCGGACACUGGAAGGAUUGACAGAUUAAGGGCUCUUUCUUGAUUCAGUGGGUGGUGGUGCAUGGCCGUUCCUAGUUGGUGGAGCAGUUUGUCUGGUUAAUUCCGAUAACGAACGAGGCUCUAGCCUACUAAAUAGGUGUUCCGAUCCCAUCAGUCGGACGCUCUUCUUAGAGGGACAAGCGGCGUUUAGCCGCACGAGACAGAGCAAUAACAGGUCUGUGAUGCCCUUAGAUGUCCGGGGCCGCACGCGCGCUACACUGAAGGAACCAGCGUGUGUCCCUGUCCGGCAGGACUGGGUAAUCCGUUGAACCUCCUUCGUGAUAGGGAUAGGGGCUUGUAAUUGUUCCCCUUGAACGAGGAAUUCCCAGUAAGCGUGAAUCAUCAGUUCACGUUGAUUACGUCCCUGGCCUUUGUACACACCGCCCGUCGCUACUACUGAUUGGAUGAUUUUAGUGAG
RNAcentral lists this ribosomal RNA (519 nucleotides) under uncultured eukaryote. Its description in RNAcentral is "bacterial SSU rRNA". It matches the Rfam family "Eukaryotic small subunit ribosomal RNA", at positions 1161 to 1705 of the family's 1831-position model. The record is from RNAcentral.